Long non-coding RNA from Macaca mulatta (Rhesus monkey), 231 nucleotides. RefSeq lists it as uncharacterized. The record is from RefSeq and is a predicted model, not a curated record. NCBI's taxonomy places the organism in Eukaryota, Metazoa, Chordata, Mammalia, Primates, Cercopithecidae.
AGCCACUCACUCGCCCGCCCUUCCGGGCCCACUCCCGAGGGGACGGUCUCCCGCCCGCUCUCACACACAGCUAGCUCCUCAGGCCAGGCCCCCAGGGCUUCGUCCACCUCUCACCUUUGACGACGCGAGUCUGGAAUUGUCAAGAGUCUGAAGGCACAGAAUAAGAAUGCAGCUAGAGCAAUUUCGGCGCCACAGUUUGUCAAAACAGACAGGGUCUCACUCUGCCACCCA